UAAGUACCGAUAGCCUUCAAC
This 21-nucleotide non-coding RNA is filed under the name Caenorhabditis elegans. The record is from RNAcentral. Lineage: Eukaryota; Metazoa; Nematoda; Chromadorea; Rhabditida; Rhabditidae.